ACGGGAGGCAGCAGUGAGGAAUAUUGGUCAAUGGGCGCAAGCCUGAACCAGCCAUGCCGCGUGAAGGAAGAAGGUCCUAUGGAUUGUAAACUUCUUUUGUACGGGGAUAAUAAGCCUUACGAGUAAGGUGAUGAAGGUACCGUAUGAAUAAGCAUCGGCUAACUCCGUGCCAGCAGCCGCGGUAAUACGGAGGAUGCAGGCGUUAUCCGGAUUUAUUAGGUUUAAAGGGUGCGUAGGCGGCGCUGUAAGUCAGUGGUGAAAGCGGGCAGCUCAACUGUCCAACUGCCAUUGAUACUGUAGUGCUUGAAUGCGGCGGAAGUGGGCGGAAUGUGUUGUGUAGCGGUGAAAUGCUUAGAUAUGACACAGAACACCGAUUGCGAAGGCAGCUCACUAUACCGUUAUUGACGCUGAGGCACGAAAGCGUGGGGAUCGAACAGGAUUAGAUACCCUGGUA
This 454-nucleotide ribosomal RNA is filed under the name uncultured Marinilabiliaceae bacterium. RNAcentral's name for it is "partial 16S ribosomal RNA". It matches the Rfam family "Bacterial small subunit ribosomal RNA", at positions 341 to 792 of the family's 1533-position model. Lineage: Bacteria; Pseudomonadati; Bacteroidota; Bacteroidia; Marinilabiliales; Marinilabiliaceae. The record is from RNAcentral.